Long non-coding RNA from Mus musculus (house mouse), 754 nucleotides. RefSeq annotates it as predicted gene, 34181. The record is from RefSeq and is marked validated. Lineage: Eukaryota; Metazoa; Chordata; Mammalia; Rodentia; Muridae. The transcript is spliced from 3 exons.
ACUCUGGUUUCAGCUCAGGGAUACACACAGUGGACUUUUGGCCUCCAGCACUAUGAACUGAGCUCAGUCCAUGGGGUUUACACAGCAAGCAUUUUACCAACGGAUCCAUGUGGCUUGUGCCAAGUCCCCAUCAACACUGCUGAGUUGCUGUAAUACUCAAACCAGUUCAGAGCCUCAUUUCUUUUGCUUCAUUAUCCUGGAAAAUGCCUGUCAUGUGAGGCCCUGAAGCAUCUGCGAGAUCUGUCAAGCUAUCCCAGAACUGAAGAGGAUGUUCACCAUGGCCUUCCAUGUUCCUGCUCUUACUGUGUUAUGAAUCAAACCUGCUACCUGGAGAAAGCUGCCAAUCAAAUAUGAUGACAUCAACAAGCCCACGUGUGGUAGAACUGAGAGGUAGGACAGAAAGUGAUUCAUUUACGAUUGUUCCACGGCUACAGGAAAACCUCAGAAAGAGAUUGCCUUUCCUUUCCUGUCUUCUGAUAUGUGAGCUAAGUCAGCAACACCAGUGACAACAGCCUGACCUUGGACCUUUAGAACAGUGAGUAGUUGACGUCUGUGCUUUAUAAACCACACACACAUAGUAGAACAAAUAGACUAAAACAAUAUUGUGUUUCAUAUAUCCAGUAAUGCCUCUUUAGAUGUUUUAUCCACAAGAUCCCUGGCAUGUUGGCUUUAACUCAGAUGCCACCAUUCCUCUAUAUCUUUUCUUUUACUUACACACACACACACACACACACACACACACACACACACACAC